This is a long non-coding RNA of Gadus morhua (Atlantic cod), 1060 nucleotides long. RefSeq lists it as uncharacterized. The record is from RefSeq and is a predicted model, not a curated record. NCBI's taxonomy places the organism in Eukaryota, Metazoa, Chordata, Actinopteri, Gadiformes, Gadidae. The transcript has 3 exons.
ACAGUUGAUUAACGACAGUUCAGUGGGUAAAAUGUACAUACAAGGAACCCUUAAAGUCCAUUGACACUUCUUUCAUAUGCAAAUCUCACAAUUAAAAACCGGUAGGUAUGUAAAGCAGGAUUUACUAAGAAGAUGUAGCUGAAAAGGUGCUCUUCUGACCUUUUGUUCAUUACAACCGCAAGCUGUAGUAUUAUGUUGUUGCUAACGUAUCCUCCCUGUUUCUAUUAUCGGUAGAUGUGAUGGUUUAGUUUAUUGGCAAUGUGGCUAACGUUAUUUCAUGUCCCUGACUGUGUUUCAUUCAAAUAAAUAACACGUGUUUCUUUACAGCCCAACCAAUGUUACAUACCCUAUUCGGAGACCGUAAGGAACCGUGUGAAAUACCCCCAAAAAGUCAAUGACCCCUUUUAAAAACAGAAGUGAAGUUAAUGUUUUCUGACUUCUUAGGUUCCCAGUUCUGGAAACAGAACUCAAGAAAAAUAUAUGCUGUGCCCGAAAGUGACUUUGUGGAGUUUCAGAAUGGGAGAAGAGCUAAAACAAGUCGGAGGGAUGGAGAUUCAAGCCUGCAGGAGGUCCUUGGACGUGUUGACCAGCUGAAGCAAGCCGCCGGGAGUCUCCAAGAGGUCACUAAUUCAAUCAACCAGCCGUCUCAGCUGGCCAAGUCUCAAAAGGAGGAGAUCAUGGCAAAUGUCGGUUUGCAGCCCUUAAAGGAAGCCUUUGCAUGUCUUGUGUGUAAAGCUGUAAUGGCAGAUCCCAUGUUCGCCACAUGCUGUGAAUCGAUAAUUGGAUGUCGUACCUGUGUGGAGCUGUGGUAAGUCACAUCAGACCACUGCUUGAAAUGCAGGGCAGGAGACUUUGAAAAUAAAAUACAUGAAGUGAAGGGUCUCUCUGCUGCCUUGUCACUUUUCAAGGAGAGAAUAAUUGAAUAGAUUUGAUUUGAUAGAUAAUUGUUUGUUAUGUUUACAUUACUGGAACUACCUCAGUUUGUUUGUUGGAUGUUAUUAUGUGUACAUGACCAGAAAGAUGUUGUUUGUUGUAAUGUUUAUAUUGUGUGCGACCGUUU